RNAcentral lists this ribosomal RNA (253 nucleotides) under uncultured bacterium. RNAcentral describes it as "partial 16S ribosomal RNA". It matches the Rfam family "Bacterial small subunit ribosomal RNA", at positions 524 to 776 of the family's 1533-position model. The record is from RNAcentral.
UACGUAGGGUGCGAGCGUUAAUCGGAAUUACUGGGCGUAAAGCGUGCGCAGGCGGUUUCUUAAGCCAGAUGUGAAAGCCCCGGGCUUAACCUGGGAAUUGCGUUUGGAACUGGGAGACUAGAGUGUGGCAGAGGGAGGUAGAAUUCCACGUGUAGCAGUGAAAUGCGUAGAGAUGUGGAGGAAUACCGAUGGCGAAGGCAGGCUCCUGGGCCAACACUGACGCUCAUGCACGAAAGCGUGGGGAGCAGACAGG